CUACGGGAGGCUGCAGUGGGGAAUAUUGGACAAUGGGGGGAACCCUGAUCCAGCCAUGCCGCGUGUGUGAAGAAGGCCCUCGGGUUGUAAAGCACUUUCAGUGAGGAAGAACGCCUGGUGGUUAAUACCCAUCAGGAAAGACAUCACUCACAGAAGAAGCACCGGCUAACUCCGUGCCAGCAGCCGCGGUAAUACGGAGGGUGCGAGCGUUAAUCGGAAUUACUGGGCGUAAAGCGCGCGUAGGUGGCUUGAUAAGCCGGUUGUGAAAGCCCCGGGCUCAACCUGGGAACGGCAUCCGGAACUGUCAAGCUAGAGUGCAGGAGAGGAAGGUAGAAUUCCCGGUGUAGCGGUGAAAUGCGUAGAGAUCGGGAGGAAUACCAGUGGCGAAGGUGGCCUUCUGGACUGACACUGACACUGAGGUGCGAAAGCGUGGGUAGCAAACAGGAUUAGAUACCCUAGUGC
RNAcentral lists this ribosomal RNA (462 nucleotides) under Vreelandella stevensii. Its description in RNAcentral is "partial 16S ribosomal RNA". It matches the Rfam family "Bacterial small subunit ribosomal RNA", at positions 339 to 794 of the family's 1533-position model. Lineage: Bacteria; Pseudomonadati; Pseudomonadota; Gammaproteobacteria; Oceanospirillales; Halomonadaceae. The record is from RNAcentral.